RNAcentral lists this long non-coding RNA (786 nucleotides) under Carassius auratus (goldfish). Its description in RNAcentral is "lncRNA (ENSCARG00000044739.1)". Lineage: Eukaryota; Metazoa; Chordata; Actinopteri; Cypriniformes; Cyprinidae. The record is from RNAcentral.
ACUAAAGAUAUGAUCACAUGCACCUAGCUUUGUGAUGGUUUUACAAGUAGGCCUAUACAUGUGCAAUUGAAUCCAAGCUUCUUAUGGAUAAGUUGAUGUUACGUUGAUGUCUUCGCGUAUUCGCAGAUAGAACGAAACUAAGGAGUUUUCUUUUAAGUCUGCCCAGUUGUCAAGCCAAACCAGCGAGAGAAAUAAGAUGGGCGUAACUCUAAAUGGAUCAUGCACGCAGACUUUGGAACAAUAACUCAUCAAUUCACGACGGGACGUCGUUUAAGCGCGAGCUGCUUGAGUUUCUGCACAUGUCCACGCGCGGGGACCAGCGACAGACUCGAUCAUAGCAGUCCUCGGAUAGUAGCACAAGAUACUUGCCAAGAAUUUGGAUAACAGGCUGUGCACUUGAGCGUCAGAUCACUCAAGCCAAAGUCAAUGGCUGUUUGUCACUAACUGACAUCAGUACCUUUCGCGUUGCUCUUUAUAGUGACGUAGUUGCGAGUUAACGCGAUUCUCGGGCAUAGUUCGUGGUUUUUAAACAAAUGCACUGCUGCAAAGACCUCUGCCUUUACGAGUUUUUGAUAUCUGCUUGUGGAUUAGAUAUGAUUAUGCUGUUAUGGAUCACCUCAGGUUUGGCACUCAAAGAUGACGGGUCAUCAUCGUCCACUAAAAGGAAAAGGAGAUUUUGUAAAUCAGUGAGAAAACACGUAAAUCAACGGCCCUCAGAUCAGGAGACGGAAGACGAGCGGAGAGUGGGAGUAGCGAUAGUGGUGGAGGAGUGAACCCGGAGCAGGU